CCCGCGUGCAGGAUGACGGCCCUACGGGUUGUAAACUGCUUUUAUGUACCAAGAAUAGGCGCUACGUGUAGUGUUAUGACGGUAGUACAUGAAUAAGCAUCGGCUAACUCCGUGCCAGCAGCCGCGGUAAUACGGAGGAUGCAAGCGUUAUCCGGAUUCAUUGGGUUUAAAGGGUGCGUAGGCGGCCAUAUAAGUCAGUGGUGAAAUGCUGCAGCUCAACUGUAGAACUGCCAUUGAAACUGUAUGGCUUGAGUGCGCCUGAGGUAGGCGGAAUGAGUAGUGUAGCGGUGAAAUGCUUAGAUAUUACUCAGAACACCGAUUGCGAAGGCAGCUUACUAAAGCG
RNAcentral lists this ribosomal RNA (343 nucleotides) under uncultured bacterium. RNAcentral describes it as "bacterial SSU rRNA". It matches the Rfam family "Bacterial small subunit ribosomal RNA", at positions 396 to 736 of the family's 1533-position model. The record is from RNAcentral.